RNAcentral lists this ribosomal RNA (253 nucleotides) under uncultured cyanobacterium. RNAcentral describes it as "partial 16S ribosomal RNA". It matches the Rfam family "Bacterial small subunit ribosomal RNA", at positions 524 to 776 of the family's 1533-position model. The record is from RNAcentral. Lineage: Bacteria; Bacillati; Cyanobacteriota.
UACGGAGGGUGCAAGCGUUGUCCGGAAUCAUUGGGCGUAAAGAGUUCGUAGGCGGCACGUAAAGUCUGGUGUUAAAGGCAGAGGCUCAACCUCUGUACGGCACUGGAUACUUGCGAGCUAGAAUGCGGUAGAGGUAAAGGGAAUUCCUGGUGUAGCGGUGAAAUGCUUAGAUAUCAGGAGGAACAUCGGUGGCGAAGGCGGAUUGCUGGACAGUAACUGACGCUGAGGCGCGAAAGCGUGGGGAGCAAACAGG